UACAGAGGGUGCAAGCGUUGUUCGGAAUUAUUGGGCGUAAAGCGCGUGUAGGCGGCUUUGCAAGUCGGGUGUGAAAGCCCUCAGCUCAACUGAGGAAGUGCGCCCGAAACUGCAGAGCUUGAGUGCCGGAGAGGAUGGCGGAAUUCCCCAGUGUAGAGGUGAAAUUCGUAGAUAUUGGGGAAGAACACCGGUGGCGAAGGCGGCGACUGUCGGAUCGUGACGUGA
Molecule: ribosomal RNA, 225 nt
Filed under: uncultured bacterium
Lineage: Bacteria
Description: partial 16S ribosomal RNA
Rfam family: Bacterial small subunit ribosomal RNA
Source: RNAcentral